Leucoraja erinaceus (little skate) is the source of this 5164-nucleotide long non-coding RNA. RefSeq lists it as uncharacterized. Lineage: Eukaryota; Metazoa; Chordata; Chondrichthyes; Rajiformes; Rajidae. The record is from RefSeq and is a predicted model, not a curated record. The transcript has 3 exons.
GCACAACGGUAGAGUUGCUGCCUUACAGUGCCAGAGGCCCGAGUUCGAUCCUGACUAGGGGUCCUGUCUGUCCAAAUUUCUGUACAUUUUCCCUGUGACCGUGUGCAUUUUCUCCAGGUGCUCCGGUUUCCUCCCACACUCCAAAGGCAUACAGGUUUGUAGGUUAAUUGGCUUCGAUAAAAUUGUAAAUUGUUCCGAGUGUGUAGGAUAGUGCGAGUGUACGGGGUGAGCUAGUUGGUGGGCUGAAGGGCUUGUGUCCGCACAGUGUCUCUAAAGUCCUAAGUUAUGCUUUAUGUUUCAAUCUGAAUGGAAACCAAUAUCUAGUUUGUGCUAGAGUCCAGUUUUGCCCUCGUGUUUUAUGCCUCUAGCUCCAAUCUAGGCUGCCACUGGGGACAUCAGUAAAUCUGCAGUGCACAGAUGUAUAGAGUAGGUGACUGAUGCAUUGUUUGCCAGAGGUAGCACUUAACUUUCCCCGUGGACAGCCAACAACAGCAUGAGGGGCCACAGCAUUUUUCAAGUAGCAAGGUUACCCAAGGUCCAGUGUGUUAUUGAUGGUACCCAAAUGGCCCUGUGUGCUUCAGUGUACAAUAAUUGUUCAUUCAUGACUGCAAAGGAUUACCCCACUAUUAAUGAGCCACCAUCUGCACAGAAGCAUGCAGGUAAACGUCUGCAGCUUAAGCAGCAUUUCUCAUCCCUUUGUUUUAAGGCAAUAUGCAAUGCCACCCAGAAAAAGAGAGUGUAAAAUUAGUUCCCAGGAGAUUAAUUUUAAGCCCUGCAGCUCAAACUCAUGAGUCUCCAUAGCAACUAUGUCCAGGUAAAAUAAGGUACACUCAUCCACCAAAUUUAUCCUCCAAGAUGCUAUAGUGUUUGGUAAUAACAGAGACCCUGCAACACAGUAUAAUAAAAUAGAUGUUGCUGAGAUGAGAAAGUUAUGCAACUGGAAAUACCAGACAAUGAUCAGCAAAGAUAUGACAUGGUAGGAGAAUAUAUUGAAUUAAUUGCUACUGAAACAUACUGUCAGGUACUUGUUUGCAGGUACUUGCAGAACCACAUUACCACAUUCUCAGUAUCUAUCCACUCAUUAAGGAGCAGUGCUCCCAAUUCUUCCAAAUCCUGAAGAAUACAUCUUCACCUACAGUAACAUGACAUUUACUGAGCUGCUGCAGGUGUCAGCCCUUGGCAAAGUCCGACUCCAUAACAAGAAAUAUCUCCAGAGACAGUUCCACUGAAAUAAAUGCAAGUAAAUGUCCAUCCUGUGCUUAUGAACUGUCUGUUUAGUUCCUCAUACAGUGUGCAUUUGGCCUACCUAAGAGUACCUGCAUAAUACAUACAAUCAAGACUAUCUUUCCAAAGUCACCAGCUUCAACAUUUCUCCAUCUGCAAUAAUUGAACUAUUCCUGACAACUUCACAGCCAAACACUACAGUGAACAUAGUGAUGGAAGAAAUUGCCAAUACGUCAUUUAUCUAGCAUUUGUUCACCCCCAACCUACUUACUUAUACUUUGGUUGGGCUAGCCCGUUUUUAGGUCUUGGGUUAUUAUUUAGACUUAGAAGCUAGAUGUCAAGAAGGGAAAAGAACGGCCCUUGCAAUCAAGACAGUUUUCAACCAAGUGCUGCAACGAGGUACAAGAAAGAUAUGAUAUACAUUGGAAAAUCCCUUAAUAGCCGACAAAGGAAGAUAGUUGUCAUUGUUGGUGAAUCAGAGAAGCAGAAUAUUGUUGUUGCAAUGCCAUCUUGUUGAAAUCUCUUCAGCUAUCGGGGAACCCAGAGUAGGGAGAUCAAGAACCAAAAAGACAUAGGUCUGACGGGAAAGAUUUAAUAUGAACCUGAGGGGCAUCUUUUUCACACAAGAGUGGUGGGCAUAUGGAACGAGCUGCCAAAGGAGGUAGUUGAGUCAGAUACUAUAACAACAUAUAAAAUACAUUUGGACAAGUGCAUGGAUAGGAAAGGUUUAGAGCGACAUGGGCAAGCGCGACUAGUGUAGACAGGGCACCUUGGUCAACAUAGGCAAGUUGGACCGAAGUGUCUGUUCCCAUGCUGUAGGAUUUUAUGUAGCUUUUGGCAUCAUGGGUUUAAGUUUCACUGGACAGUUGGAUGCAAAUAAGUGAAUAGGUUCAAGAAAAAUUAGACAUGAAAACAGUAAUGAAUCAUGGCCAUCUCCUCACUUGUUCAGAUGUGUGUCCUCAAAGUUUUGUUUUGUUUAUUGUCACAUGUAUCAAGGUACAGUGAAAAGCUUUUGUUGUGUGCUAACAAGUCAUGCAUGAUUACAAUCGAGCCAUCCACAGUGUCCAGAUGCAUGAUAAAGUGAAUAACAUUUAGUAGAAGAUGAAGUCCAGUAAAGUCUGAUUAAAGAUGGUCCAAGGGUCUCCAAUGAGGUAGAUAGUAGCUCAAGACCACUCUCUAGGUGUUGGUAGGAUGGUUCACUUGCCUGAUAACAGCUGGAAAGAAACUGUCCCUGAAUCUGAAGGUGUGCAUUGAUGAUAGUUUGAUUUACGUUUCCUCUCAUUUCCUGGACUGCCUUCUGCGAGUCAAUUAGCAAAGGUUUGAGUGAAUACAUGAAUAAGUCGCACAGUCGACUAAGUGGACAGAACCUGUUAGAGAGGAGACUAUUUGAGAACCAAGGGAAGAGAUAUGUACAAGGGAGGUUUCUUCUCCAGUGCACCCUUCUCCACAAUAGCCAGUCAUGAGAAGCACUUAAGGUUCUAUAAUCCCAUAACUCCAAUAUCAAUAUAUGCUUUGUAGAUGGCAGAUGGUGGAAUUCCUUCUAAAAUGCAAGCUACCAAAGAGAAGCAUUAUUGACACUGAGAAGCUUGACUCCAGUGUGUAAAUGAGGCUGACCCUGGAGACUGAGGCAAGGUCAACAAAGUAAAGGUUAGAUGAAUGCCAAUGACAAACUGCCAAAUUGAAGGCCUCAGACCAAAAUUAGAGCUUCACUGAUAGGAUUGUAAAAAAUGUUGAAAUAUCCAUUGCACAAAUGUUCUAUCUGUAUUUGCAUCAUGCAUCAGCUAAACCCAGCCUUUAAUUAUUUAGCACUGUUUCCACACAAUGGUAGAUUUAAUCCAGAUAAAUAGUAGUAUAACUAUGAAAUUGGUUGCCACCUGCCUAGCUAAUGGAUUGGAAUGAGGAAACAAUGGAAAAUGGCCCUGUUGAAGUUAUAUUCAGUUUUGGGAAAGAAAUAUAGAAAGGCGUAAGCAAUAUUACUAAUUGAACAUCUUCAGAUGACAAGAAAGUCGAUUCCAAGGGAGAAGAGCAUGCAAACAGGAAGGUGAUGAGUGACUAUGAAGUGAUGACAGUGAGCCGAGCUAGAAAAUGGAGAGAGGGAAACAUACCCCUACUUCCUGAAUACCAGCAAGUUCUGUAGUGAGCAGAUUAAGUUGCAGUGGGCAAAAAAUGUUCUUCAACAUGGAUCAAGUUGGCUGCUGCGGAUUAUAUUUGGGAGCUAAAAGGUCAUUCGCAGAUUGGCAGAUGACCUUGAGGGAGCAGGUAAACACGCCACCCCCGGAGACUCGACGGCACUAUGGUUCGCUGAUGUUCCAGAAUAUUAACUUUCAGCUACGAUGCCAAGGGCUGCUUUCAGAAUAAGAACGGAGGUACAGUAAUCUGAUUUAUGCCGCCGGGAAAUCCACAUUUACUGAUGAAGCUAUGAUUGCAGUUUAAGGAAUACAGGGCUCUUUCAACAUUCCUACCAUUUGCCUCUUAUCUUUACCCUAACGGUUUCAAUUACGAUGGCGCAGUACAUUACAAACGCCGACAUCCCGAAUCAUAUUGUUUACAUCCACAUUGCAAGGUAAUGUAUUGCAAAAUGUCUUCAUAUAUAAUCCGUUGGAUAAAAGCUUAUCCAGCCUUCUUAAACGGAUAAAGGAGAUAAAAACGUGAUUCAAGUCAGAUCUGUUCCCCGCAAGCCUCAAUUGAAUGGCUUACAUGAUAGAGGUUGUCCUUUGCACUGGUUUCAAUAUUUCUCACUGCGUUUCCCUAUGUUGUUACACGCAUACCUCUUUCCCUGUAAAGGUGUUGCUCCAGAACAGAGACAAAUACAGAUUGACGUCACUUAUAUUGAUGUAUUUUAUGACCGAUACACACUCCUAUCAGUUUCAAUGUGUAUCGUUUCCAUUACUUCUUAAUGAAUCGUGCUGUGGUACCCGAAAUGUAACGAUAUACAAUGUUCCUAUCGUUACCCACCGGGAGAUAAUCCACGGUGUUCAUGGUAAAAUGAUGAGAGUCCAAUUUGUUAGGGGGGGAUGAGGUGUGGACUGAUUUUGAAACCGAUAUAUAAUGUGUAGGCUGAAGAAAGAAUGAACUGGAAGCGAAGAAAACCUGGUCUUAAAGACAUUCUGACAUUUCCGGGAACAAUCAAAAUAAGCUUCGUUGCACAGCGGAAAAAAUACCAAUAAGUCUACAAGGUUCAUCUUGGGUAAACAUGAAUCAUAAUUUACCAUACCGACGCAUAUAUAAAGAUUCUAAAGCACAUUAUGGCGAAGCUGAAAUUUGGAUUCAAUACAAACUUAUAGCAAACCUCAGUUUCCCCAUUGCCAAUUCUUGCUUCUGACGGCUUCUGACUGAAUGCAAUUCGUUGUUAAAUGUGAUCGCACAAAAGAUGCAAAACUUUUUUUUUUUUAAAAGGACGAAAGGUACUCAUUUUUAUCUGCAUUACAUUGAUUUCGCUUAAGGGAAGCGACAUUGAAUGGUAAUAAUAUAGACACAGUGUCCACCAAUGUGCGACAAAUAUCCAUCGCAGAUUUUUUCGGUAGGAUUUCAUUCACAGACAGCAACAUGGUCCAAAAACAUAGUAUUAAUCCGAUAUUUGUCUGCGCUGGCGCUUUGGACCAGCAAUCUAAUUAGGAUGUAUUUUCAAGUGUAACUUGUCACAAAGUCAAACUUGUCGAUUAGUAUCAAUAAUUUUGAAAAAGAAAGAUUCGCAUUCGUUCUCAACUGGUAAAUAUUUUAUGGAAAUUUAUCAAAGUACCCCCGAGGCCAAAAAAGAAACCUUUCUUAAAAUAAUUAAAGAAUACACACACUUAGAGAGCGGUUGGAAUCAAAGCUGACAUUUUAAAGCACAACAAAAUGUAUUUCAGACAAUCGUGCAUAUGUACAGCGGGGGUCACACAAGUGCAGUCGGAGCAUUUAUUUGCAUUGAUUUAGUCGGACUCCGAGAUAAUAGCAAGUA